GACAGCUUCUGUACAGAUGUCCUAGUUAGGACAGCUGAGACCAGUUCAUCAUUGGAUGGAUGUAACCCAAAACUGUGUAUUCUAUAGCCUUCCACGCCAUUUCCCAGAAACUGUUUUCAAUAGACUAUUUACACCAUCUGCCCAGAGCAGCCUGACUCCUCAGGCUACAACGUAGGUGUUAAGAGGCCUGCAAUAUGGAAGGGUGCCUCCCUGUUCCUCACACCCUUUGUGA
This is a long non-coding RNA of Corapipo altera (White-ruffed manakin), 232 nucleotides long. RefSeq lists it as uncharacterized. The transcript has 3 exons. NCBI's taxonomy places the organism in Eukaryota, Metazoa, Chordata, Aves, Passeriformes, Pipridae. The record is from RefSeq and is a predicted model, not a curated record.